Molecule: ribosomal RNA, 1011 nt
Filed under: bacterium O01
Lineage: Bacteria
Description: bacterial SSU rRNA
Rfam family: Bacterial small subunit ribosomal RNA
Source: RNAcentral
GUAAUACGUAGGGCGCAAGCGUUNUCCGGAAUUAUUGGGCGUAAAGAGCUCGUAGGCGGUUUGUCGCGUCUGCUGUGAAAGCCCGGGGCUUAACCCCGUGGUGUGCAGUGGGUACGGGCAGACUAGAGUGCAGUAGNGGAGACUGGAAUUCCUGGUGUAGCGGUGAAAUGCGCAGAUAUCAGGAGGAACACCGAUGGCGAAGGCAGGUCUCUGGGCUGUUACUGACGCUGAGGAGCGAAAGCAUGGGGAGCGAACAGGAUUAGAUACCCUGGUAGUCCAUGCCGUAAACGUUGGGCACUAGGUGUGGGGGACAUUCCACGUUNUCCGCGCCGUAGCUAACGCAUUAAGUGCCCCGCCUGGGGAGUACGGCCGCAAGGCUAAAACUCAAAGGAAUUGACGGGGGCCCGCACAAGCGGCGGAGCAUGCGGAUUAAUUCGAUGCAACGCGAAGAACCUUACCAAGGCUUGACAUACACCAGACCGGCCCAGAGAUGGGUUUUCCUCUUUGAGGUUGGUGUACAGGUGGUGCAUGGUUGUCGUCAGCUCGUGUCGUGAGAUGUUGGGUUAAGUCCCGCAACGAGCGCAACCCUCGUUCUAUGUUGCCAGCACGUGAUGGUGGGGACUCAUAGGAGACUGCCGGGGUCAACUCGGAGGAAGGUGGGGAUGACGUCAAAUCAUCAUGCCCCUUAUGUCUUGGGCUUCACGCAUGCUACAAUGGCCGGUACAAUGGGUUGCGAUACCGUGAGGUGGAGCUAAUCCCAAAAAGCUGGUCUCAGUUCGGAUCGUGGUCUGCAACUCGACCACGUGAAGUCGGAGUCGCUAGUAAUCGCAGAUCAGCAACGCUGCGGUGAAUACGUUCCCGGGCCUUGUACACACCGCCCGUCAAGUCACGAAAGUUGGUAACACCCGAAGCCGGUGGCCUAACCCUUGUGGGGGGAGCCGUCGAAGGUGGGACUGGCGAUUGGGACUAAGUCGUAACAAGGUAACCAAUCGAAUUCCCGCGGGCCGNNNU